This 668-nucleotide ribosomal RNA is filed under the name uncultured fungus. RNAcentral's name for it is "eukaryotic LSU rRNA". The stretch from base 205 to 358 matches the Rfam family "5.8S ribosomal RNA". Lineage: Eukaryota; Fungi. The record is from RNAcentral.
UGUGUGAGGCAUGUGAGGGUUGUCGCUGGCUUCNAAGUUGUGCACGCCGGAGCAUGUCCUCUCACAUAACACAAUCCAUCUCACCCUUUGUGCACCACCGCGCGGGCACCCUUUGGGAUCGGACCGAUCUCUUAGGGGACUCGCGUUUUCACACCACACCCCUUUUUAAAAAGUGUAGAAUGACCUCAUUUAUGCGAUCAAUACAACUUUCAACAACGGAUCUCUUGGCUCUCGCAUCGAUGAAGAACGCAGCGAAAUGCGAUACGUAAUGUGAAUUGCAGAAUUCAGUGAAUCAUCGAAUCUUUGAACGCACCUUGCGCCCCUUGGUAUUCCGAGGGGCACACCCGUUUGAGUGUCGUGAAAUCCUCAACUUCCUCGGUUUCUUCUGGAGACCAAAGGAGGCUUGGACUUUGGAGGCCUUUGCUGGCGCGUCUCUCGCCAGCUCCUCUUAAAUGAAUUAGCGGGGUCCUCUUUGCCGAUCCUCGACACGUGAUAAGAUGCUUCCGUGUCUCGGUUUCUGGCUCUGUUGCUUUUGGGACCCGCUUCUAACCGUCUGGACCUUGUGUCGAGACAAUGUUCGAGCUCGUCUCCCUUCUCGGGAAACGCCCUCGACCCCACGAACCCUUGGCCUCAAAUCGGGUGAGACUACCCGCUGAACUUAAGCAUAU